AUCAGCGGCGGACGGGUGAGUAACACGUGGGUAACCUGCCUGUAAGACUGGGAUAACUCCGGGAAACCGGGGCUAAUACCGGAUAACUCAUUUCCUCGCAUGAGGAAAUGUUGAAAGGUGGCUUUUAGCUAUCACUUACAGAUGGACCCGCGGCGCAUUAGCUAGUUGGUGAGGUAACGGCUCACCAAGGCAACGAUGCGUAGCCAACCUGAGAGGGUGAUCGGCCACACUGGGACUGAGACACGGCCCAAACUCCUACGGGAGGCAGCAGUAGGGAAUCUUCCGCAAUGGACGAAAGUCUGACGGAGCAACGCCCCGUGAGUGAUGAAGGUUUUCGGAUCGUAAAGCUCUGUUGUUAGGGAAGAACAAGUGCCGUUCGAAUAGGGCGGCACCUUGACGGUACCUAACCAGAAAGCCACGGCUAACUACGUGCCAGCAGCCGCGGUAAUACGUAGGUGGCAAGCGUUGUCCGGAAUUAUUGGGCGUAAAGCGCGCGCAGGUGGUUUCUUAAGUCUGAUGUGAAAGCCCACGGCUCAACCGUGGAGGGUCAUUGGAAACUGGGGAACUUGAGUGCAGAAAAGGAAAGUGGAAUUCCAAGUGUAGCGGUGAAAUGCGUAGAUAUUUGGAGGAACACCAGUGGCGAAGGCGACUUUCUGGUCUGUAACUGACACUGAGGCGCGAAAGCGUGGGGAGCAAACAGGAUUAGAUACCCUGGUAGUCCACGCCGUAAACGAUGAGUGCUAAGUGUUAGGGGGUUUCCGCCCCUUAGUGCUGCAGCUAACGCAUUAAGCACUCCGCCUGGGGAGUACGGUCGCAAGACUGAAACUCAAAGGAAUUGACGGGGGCCCGCACAAGCGGUGAAGCAUGUGGUUUAAUUCGAAGCAACGCGAA
This 891-nucleotide ribosomal RNA is filed under the name Bacillus sp. (in: firmicutes). RNAcentral's name for it is "bacterial SSU rRNA". It matches the Rfam family "Bacterial small subunit ribosomal RNA", at positions 91 to 965 of the family's 1533-position model. The record is from RNAcentral. Lineage: Bacteria; Bacillati; Bacillota; Bacilli; Caryophanales; Bacillaceae.